RNAcentral lists this ribosomal RNA (412 nucleotides) under uncultured microorganism. RNAcentral describes it as "bacterial SSU rRNA". It matches the Rfam family "Archaeal small subunit ribosomal RNA", at positions 330 to 745 of the family's 1478-position model. The record is from RNAcentral.
GUGCAGAGGCGAGAAUCCUUCGCAAUGCGGGAAACCGCGACGAGGGGACUCCCAGUGCCUACGCUCAGCGUAGGCUGUUCCCGAGCCUAGAAAGCUCGGGGAGUAAGGGCUGGGUAAGACGGGUGCCAGCCGCCGCGGUAAUACCCGCAGCCCGAGUGGUGGCCACUAUUAUUGGGCCUAAAGCGUCCGUAGCCGGCCCGGUAAAUGCCUGGGUAAAUCGUGAGGCCUAACCUCACGAAUUCCGGGUAGACUGCCGGGCUAGGGACCGGAGGAGGGAGAGGGUACUCCAGGGGUAGGGGUGAAAUCCUGUAAUCCCUGGAGGACCACCGGUGGCGAAGGCGCUCUCCUAGGACGGGUCCGACGGUGAGGGACGAAAGCCAGGGGAGCGAACCGGAUUAGAUACCCCCGUAGU